This is a long non-coding RNA of Talpa occidentalis (Iberian mole), 617 nucleotides long. RefSeq lists it as uncharacterized. The record is from RefSeq and is a predicted model, not a curated record. The transcript is spliced from 3 exons. Lineage: Eukaryota; Metazoa; Chordata; Mammalia; Eulipotyphla; Talpidae.
UCUUGUUUGAGGGAACACAAACUAUUUCCAGAUCUAUUUGGAUUACUGAUUUCCAGGGUUUUUCCAAUCCUGAGUAAUUUCCUCUGACUGCCAAUUUUGUGGAUAGAGAAGAAUGAAGAAAAUAAAACUACACACAGACAGACACAUGCAAAUCAUGGAGCAUAGAGGAAAAAAGGUCAAUAAACUUUACACUGAAAUCAAGACUUCAGGACAAUGGAAUAUAACUUGAACAAAGAUGAGAUUGGUUGCAAGUUUCUUUUCAGCCUGGCACCAUGACCUUCCUAAAUUUCUGAAAAAUUUUCUCCAAGAUUGCUUCAUCUUAGAACUGAAGUUCUUUUAGCACUUGUUUCCAUCUGGAAAUGAAUCAUCCAGUGAUCCACAUGCACCAUACCAACUGAAGUCAACCUAGGGCCUGUCUCCACAGACACUGCCAGACCCAAGCAUAUUCCAAGGCAUGAGCUAUUGGCAUUCCUAUUUGAUUAAUGAGGACAAUAUUUCAAUUUGGUAUCAUGUUGAAGUCAACAAUGAAAACAAAAAGCCUUCAUUUUAUCCUAUCCUGAAUGAAAUGGGAUGUAAAUAUAAAGGUUGAUUAAAGUUGAAACCUGCUGCAUUUUAGA